AGGCGCGACUAGGGUGCAGCGCCAGGUCCGGUGUUGGGGUGUCCGAGUUGCGGCCGGAGAGGAGUGGCCUCACCCGCUUGACAGUCUUGCUCUGUUGCCCAGGCUGGAGUGCAGUGAGUCUUGGCUCACUGCAGCCUCUGCCUCCCAGGCUCAAGCCACAGAUGUGCACUACUGCACUCGGCUAAUUUUUGUGUUUUCUUUUUAGUAGAGCUGGGGUUUCACCAAAUUGGCCAGUCUGGUCUUGAACUACUGGCCUCAAGUGAUCCGCCCACCUCUGCCUCCCACAGUGCUGGGAUUACAGGCAUGAGCCACCACGCCUGGCCUGAUGGUGAUUUAAAGUGCUCUUUCUUCAUUACUUCUUGAGUAGCUCACCAGUUUUACAAAUGAAGCCACAUGGAUCUUCCAAGGCCUUAUUUAAAUUCCAGGGCCUUUUUUCUGUGUAUUUCUUUCCAAGAAGCUCAUUUACUUUUCCUUUCUUCUUUUCUUCUCUUUUCUUUUACUUCCUUUCUGCUUGCAUUUUUUUUUUUUUUUUUUUUGAGACGGAGUCUUGCUGUUGCCCAGGCUGAAGUACAGUGGCAUGAUCUCGGCUCACUGCGACCUUUGCCUCUCGGGUUCAAGCAACUCUCCUGUCUCAGCCUCCUGAGUAGCC
Molecule: small RNA, 649 nt
Filed under: Pan troglodytes (chimpanzee)
Lineage: Eukaryota; Metazoa; Chordata; Mammalia; Primates; Hominidae
Description: processed transcript
Source: RNAcentral